This 244-nucleotide ribosomal RNA is filed under the name uncultured bacterium. RNAcentral's name for it is "partial 16S ribosomal RNA". It matches the Rfam family "Bacterial small subunit ribosomal RNA", at positions 524 to 767 of the family's 1533-position model. The record is from RNAcentral.
UACGUAGGGUGCAAGCGUUGUCCGGAAUUAUUGGGCGUAAAGAGCUCGUAGGCGGUCUGUCGCGUCGGCUGUGAAAACCUGAGGCUCAACCUCGGGCCUGCAGUCGAUACGGGCAGACUAGAGUUCGGUAGGGGAGACUGGAAUUCCUGGUGUAGCGGUGGAAUGCGCAGAUAUCAGGAGGAACACCGGUGGCGAAGGCGGGUCUCUGGGCCGAAACUGACACUGAGGAGCGAAAGCGUGGGGA